Molecule: ribosomal RNA, 605 nt
Filed under: uncultured bacterium
Lineage: Bacteria
Description: bacterial SSU rRNA
Rfam family: Bacterial small subunit ribosomal RNA
Source: RNAcentral
CGUUGAUGUAACACGUGCAAUAAUCUACCUCCGAGUGGGGAAUAACUGAGAGAAAUUCUUACGCUUAAUUACCGCAUAAUCACUUACGACGUUCAUACAGCCAGCAAUGCGCUUGGAAGAAGGAGCUCCGUCGGCCGAAUUAGUUUAGUUGGCGGGGCUAAUGGUCCCACCUAAGGACGAUGAUCGGUAUCCGGGCUCUGAGAGGGCUCACGGACUACACUGGAACUUGAAAUCACUAAGUCCAGACUCCUACGGGAGGCAGCAGUGGGGAAUUUUGCGCAAUGGGGGAAACCCUGACGCAGCAACGCCGCGUGGAGGAUGAAAUAUCUUGGUAUGUAAACUCCUUUCGAUCGGGACGAUAAUGACGGUACCGGAAGAAGAAGCCCCGGCUAACUUCGUGCCAGCAGCCGCGGUAAUACGAGGGGGGCGAGCGCUGUUCGGAAUUAUUGGGCGUAAAGGGUGCGUAGGCGGUUCAGUAAGUCUUGUGUGAAAUCUUCGGGCUCAAUCGAAGUCUGCAUGAGAAACUGCUGGGCUUGAGUAUGGGAGAGGUGAGUGGAAUUCCCGGUGUAAGCGGUGAAAUGCGUAGAUUCGGGAGGAAACCUGUG